RNAcentral lists this ribosomal RNA (465 nucleotides) under uncultured bacterium. RNAcentral describes it as "partial 16S ribosomal RNA". It matches the Rfam family "Bacterial small subunit ribosomal RNA", at positions 28 to 507 of the family's 1533-position model. The record is from RNAcentral.
GACGAACGCUGGCGGCGUGCUUAACACAUGCAAGUCGAACGGAAAGGCCCCUUUGGGGGUACUCGAGUGGCGAACGGGUGCGUAACACGUGAGUAACCUGCCCUUGACUUCGGGAUAACUUCAGGAAACUGGGGCUAAUACCGGAUAGGAAUCCUUGCUGCAUGGUGGGGGUUGGAAAGCUUCGGCGGUUUUGGAUGGACUCGCGGCUUAUCAGCUUGUUGGUGGGGUAGUGGCUUACCAAGGCUUUGACGGGUAGCCGGACUGAGAGGGCGACCGGCCACAUUGGGACUGAGAGACGGCCCAGAUUCCUACGGGAGGCAGCUGUGGGGAAGCUUGAACCAUGGGCGGAAGGCUGGUGCAGCAACGCCGCGUGCGGGAUGACGGCCUUGGUGUUGUAAACCGCUUUCAGCAGGGGCGAAGCUUGUGGUGACGGUACCUGCAGAAGAAGCACCGGCUAACUACGUG